GAUGAACGCUGGCGGCGUGCCUAAUAGAUGCAAGUCGAGCGAACAGACGAGGAGCUUGCUCCUCUGACGUUAGCGGCGGACGGGUGAGUAACACGUGGAUAACCUACCUAUAAGACUGGGAUAACUUCGGGAAACCGGAGCUAAUACCGGAUAAUAUAUUGAACCGCAUGGUUCAAUAGUGAAAGACGGUUUUGCUGUCACUUAUAGAUGGAUCCGCGCCGCAUUAGCUAGUUGGUAAGGUAACGGCUUACCAAGGCGACGAUGCGUAGCCGACCUGAGAGGGUGAUCGGCCACACUGGAACUGAGACACGGUCCAGACUCCUACGGGAGGCAGCAGUAGGGAAUCUUCCGCAAAGGGCGAAAGCCUGACGGAGCAACGCCGCGUGAGUGAUGAAGGUCUUCGGAUCGUAAAACUCUGUUAUUAGGGAAGAACAAAUGUGUAAGUAACUAUGCACGUCUUGACGGUACCUAAUCAGAAAGCCACGGCUAACUACGUG
Molecule: ribosomal RNA, 497 nt
Filed under: uncultured bacterium
Lineage: Bacteria
Description: partial 16S ribosomal RNA
Rfam family: Bacterial small subunit ribosomal RNA
Source: RNAcentral